RNAcentral lists this ribosomal RNA (490 nucleotides) under uncultured bacterium. RNAcentral's name for it is "partial 16S ribosomal RNA". It matches the Rfam family "Bacterial small subunit ribosomal RNA", at positions 30 to 507 of the family's 1533-position model. The record is from RNAcentral.
AUUGAACGCUGGCGGCAGGCCUAACACAUGCAAGUCGAACGGUAACAGGAAGAAGCUUGCUUCUUUGCUGACGAGUGGCGGACGGGUGAGUAAUGUCUAGGAAACUGCCUGAUGGAGGGGGAUAACUACUGGAAACGGUAGCUAAUACCGCAUAACGUCGCAAGACCAAAGAGGGGGACCUUCGGGCCUCUUGCCAUCGGAUGUGCCCAGAUGGGAUUAGCUUGUUGGUGGGGUAACGGCUCACCAAGGCGACGAUCCCUAGCUGGUCUGAGAGGAUGACCAGCCACACUGGAACUGAGACACGGUCCAGACUCCUACGGGAGGCAGCAGUGGGGAAUAUUGCACAAAGGGCGCAAGCCUGAUGCAGCCAUGCCGCGUGUAUGAAGAAGGCCUUCGGGUUGUAAAGUACUUUCAGCGGGGAGGAAGGGAGUAAAGUUAAUACCUUUGCUCAUUGACGUUACCCGCAGAAGAAGCACCGGCUAACUCCGUG